Molecule: ribosomal RNA, 247 nt
Filed under: uncultured bacterium
Lineage: Bacteria
Description: partial 16S ribosomal RNA
Rfam family: Bacterial small subunit ribosomal RNA
Source: RNAcentral
UACGUAGGGGGCAAGCGUUGUCCGGAUUUAUUGGGCGUAAAGAGCGUGUAGGCGGCCAAGCAGGUCAGCUGUGAAAACUCGAGGCUCAACCUCGAGACGUCGGUUGAAACCGUUUGGCUAGAGUCCGGAAGAGGAGAGUGGAAAUUCCCGGUGUAGCGGUGAAAUGCGCAGAUAUCGGGAAGGAACACCGGUGGCGAAGGCGGUCUCUGGCCGUUACCUGACACUGAGGAGCGAAAGCGUGGGAAGC